RNAcentral lists this unclassified non-coding RNA (178 nucleotides) under Glomus indicum. RNAcentral describes it as "partial internal transcribed spacer region". The stretch from base 1 to 46 matches the Rfam family "Eukaryotic small subunit ribosomal RNA", at positions 1786 to 1831 of the family's 1831-position model. The record is from RNAcentral. Lineage: Eukaryota; Fungi; Glomeromycota; Glomeromycetes; Glomerales; Glomeraceae. RNAcentral also lists the same sequence under 2 other names.
AAGUCGUAACAAGGUUUCCGUAGGUGAACCUGCGGAAGGAUCAUUACCAAUAUAGCGAACCGAGCGUUAGCGAGGCUUCGCGAUCAAAUUGUAUUUAAAACCCAACUCUUUAAAUGUAUAUUAUUAUUGUAUUCUAAAUAAUAAAAGAUCACUUUCAACAACGGAUCUCUUGGUUCUC